This 515-nucleotide ribosomal RNA is filed under the name uncultured bacterium. RNAcentral describes it as "partial 16S ribosomal RNA". It matches the Rfam family "Bacterial small subunit ribosomal RNA", at positions 28 to 523 of the family's 1533-position model. The record is from RNAcentral.
GAUGAACGCUGGCGGCGUGCCUAAUACAUGCAAGUCGAGCGAAUGGAUUAAGAGCUUGCUCUUAUGAAGUUAGCGGCGGACGGGUGAGUAACACGUGGGUAACCUGCCCAUAAGACUGGGAUAACUCCGGGAAACCGGGGCUAAUACCGGAUAACAUUUUGAACCGCAUGGUUCGAAAUUGAAAGGCGGCUUCGGCUGUCACUUAUGGAUGGACCCGCGUCGCAUUAGCUAGUUGGUGAGGUAACGGCUCACCAAGGCAACGAUGCGUAGCCGACCAGGUAGGGGGAUCGGCCACACUGGGACUGAGACACGGCCCAGACUCGUACGGGAGGCAGCAGUAGGGAAUCUUCCGCAAUGGACGAAAGUCUGACGGAGCAACGCCGCGUGAGUGAUGAAGGCUUUCGGGUCGUAAAACUCUGUUGUUAGGGAAGAACAAGUGCUAGUUGAAUAAGCUGGCACCUUGACGGUACCUAACCAGAAAGCCACGGUUAACUACGUGCCAGCCGCCGCUGUAA